This 68-nucleotide transfer RNA is filed under the name Tympanocryptis tetraporophora. Its description in RNAcentral is "tRNA-Ile". The record is from RNAcentral. Lineage: Eukaryota; Metazoa; Chordata; Lepidosauria; Squamata; Agamidae.
GGAAGCGUGCCUGAAACAUAAGGACUACUUUGAUAAAGCAGACAUGGAGCCGAUAAACUCCCACUUCC